This 253-nucleotide ribosomal RNA is filed under the name uncultured bacterium. RNAcentral describes it as "partial 16S ribosomal RNA". It matches the Rfam family "Bacterial small subunit ribosomal RNA", at positions 524 to 776 of the family's 1533-position model. The record is from RNAcentral.
UACAGAGGUCUCAAGCGUUGUUCGGAUUCAUUGGGCGUAAAGGGUGCGUAGGCGGCGCGGUAAGUCGGGUGUGAAAUCUCAGAGCUUAACUCUGAAACUGCAUUCGAUACUGCCGUGCUUGAGGACUGGAGAGGAGACUGGAAUUUACGGUGUAGCGGUGAAAUGCGUAGAUAUCGUAAGGAAGACCAGUGGCGAAGGCGGGUCUCUGGACAGUUCCUGACGCUGAGGCACGAAGGCCAGGGGAGCAAACGGG